Molecule: non-coding RNA, 21 nt
Filed under: Arabidopsis thaliana (thale cress)
Lineage: Eukaryota; Viridiplantae; Streptophyta; Magnoliopsida; Brassicales; Brassicaceae
Source: RNAcentral
AGCCGGCCGUGAAGGGAUGCC